Molecule: non-coding RNA, 28 nt
Filed under: Cricetulus griseus (Chinese hamster)
Lineage: Eukaryota; Metazoa; Chordata; Mammalia; Rodentia; Cricetidae
Source: RNAcentral
CAGGAAAAGGAACAGCAGAUGGAACUAA